Molecule: ribosomal RNA, 301 nt
Filed under: uncultured bacterium
Lineage: Bacteria
Description: partial 16S ribosomal RNA
Rfam family: Bacterial small subunit ribosomal RNA
Source: RNAcentral
CAGCAGCCACGGUAAUACGUAGGUGGCAAGCGUUGUCCGGAAUUAUUGGGCGUAAAGCGCGCGCAGGCGGAUCAGUCAGUCUGUCUUAAAAGUUCGGGGCUUAACCCCGUGAUGGGAUGGAAACUGCUGAUCUAGAGUAUCGGAGAGGAAAGUGGAAUUCCUAGUGUAGCGGUGAAAUGCGUAGAUAUUAGGAAGAACACCAGUGGCGAAGGCGACUUUCUGGACGAAAACUGACGCUGAGGCGCGAAAGCCAGGGGAGCGAACGGGAUUAGAUACCCCAGUAGUCCCUGUCUCUUAUACA